GUCAGCCAGUCCUCCAAGGCUCAACAAAGCUGCAGGGGCAGAAGUAGUCUUGACUGCACAUGCUCUUCUUGCACCACAGCUGAAGGAUGCCAAAAGGCAGCCUGCCUUGGAACUCAGCCACCAUGCUGUGAGGAACUCAGCCACAUGAAGAGGCCAAAUGGAGGUUUGCCAGCCAACAGCCCUGCUUAGUACCUCAGGUGAAGUUUAGCAUCAACCACCAGGCAGUGGAAACCAAAGGAACAAAAGAGGAAUAAAGAUGCCCCCAUGAGAGAAGAAAUAAGUACUGGAAUUCCUGGAUACAGUUGUUACUGAGGCACAGCCAAGCAUGAAAAUCUUAUUGGAGGAAGAGUCCCUGACCUACUGAGUAGUGUUCCAAAUUGUACUAUUAAUGGCUGUGGAAUCCACAAGUUGGCGACAAUCUUUCCUGAAGCACAACCCAGGCACAUGCCUUGACUUUUAUGGCACUUGAAUAAUGAUAUUGCACUUUAAAGAGUAUGAGGGGGUUUUAAAAAUUCUGGUCUUGUGCCAAGUUUUCCCAUUUCAUGUAAAAGAAACUUUUUUUCCACUUGUCUGCAUAAAAGGAUGCAAGAAGCAUGAGGAAAGGCAAGAGAAAUUCUUCUUGCUUAUGUCUUAUUUCUAUCUUGAAAUAUGACCUACUUUUGAAAAGUUGGAAGGACCGCAUCAGAAUUCUCAAUUGUCAGAGCUCUCUGUCUUCUGAAAGCUGGACUUUUGCUAUAAAAGACAUGUCUACAAAAAUGAAUAAAUCUGUUGAUACUAGUCAUUUUCAUUAAUUUAUGUCUCAACACAAAAUUUUAAAAGUACUUAUAUAAUGUGGCUGUAAUAAAACCCUAUACAGAGAGAUUUAAAAAUGAAUAUGAAGCACAGAUUUCCACAAUCAUGUGCCCAAUGCACAGAAAGAGCAAACGUGAUUUUCUUUUUCCUCUAGGAUAAAAAAUUUUAUUGGGGGUAACUAAAAAUAUUGGGCAGUAUGUGUGGGUUGGAGGUUGGAGGUUAAGAUUAUUAGAUGUGGGCCAGGCGUGGUGGCUCACGCCUGUAAUUCCAGCACUUUGGGAGGCCAAGGCAGGUGGAUCACCUGAGGCCAGGAGUUUCAGACCAGCCCGGCCACAUGGCAAAACCCCGUCUUUACUAAAAAUACAAAAAUUAUCUGGGCAUGGGGGCGGGCGCCUGUAAUCCCAGCUAUUUGGGAGGCUGAGGCAGGAGGAUUGCUUGAACUUGGGAGGUGGAGGUUGCAGUGAGCCCAGAUCAUGCCAUUGUACUCCAGCCCCAGUAACAAAAGCAAAACUCCAUCUCAAAAAAAAAAAAAAAAAAAAAAAAGAUUACCAGAUGUAUUCUUGAAAAAUAAAAAAAUAAAAAAAAGAACGGGAAGAGUUCUGGAUUAUUUGAACCAAGGAUGAUAUUGUGAGAUUAAUCCCAGAAGGAGGUUUUCCCCUUUUGUAGAAGAGAAAAUUUAAGAAGACUUUAGUAGUAAAAGAUGUGGCUUAUAAACAGACUUUAUAAACAGAAAAAGAACAGUUAUCUACAAAAAAUAAAGUUACUCUGAUUUAACAGGUUUUAUUUAAUUAGCUUUCUUCCAUUUUAAUUCCCUUUCAAUGCAGAGAAUAACUGUUUAUGUAUCAUCACACUUGAUCAUCAAAACUAUCCUACAGGGAUGUUGUUAUUGUUGUCCCAGUUUGUAUUAGUUAUCCAUUGCUGUAUAACAAAUUAACUCCAAACUUGGAGUCUUAUAACAAUAAGCAUUUAUUAUCUCACAAUUCCUGUGGAUUAGGAAAACUGAGCACAAUUUAGCUGGGGACCUUAGGCUCAUGUUCUUGGUUAUUAGCAGGCCUUGGAAAUUCUGCUUCCACACAUACACACAUGGCUGUUGGCAGAUCUCAGGUCUUCACUGGCUAUUAGCUGGAGACAUCAGUUUCUUGGCAAGUGUGUCUCAUAAUAGGAUUGCUCCCAACAUAGUGAAUUGCUCCCCACAGGACAAGGAAUUUGAGAAACAGAACAAAUAAUGGGUCCUCAAGAAGGAAGCUAAUAUCUUUGUAUAACCUAAUCUCAGGGGUGAUUUCCUAUCAUGUCUGUCCCAUCCUAUUCAUUAGAAAAAAGUCACUUAGCCCAGCCCACACUCAAGGGGAGGGAAUUAUGCAAGUCCUACUAGGAGGUAGGGGUCAUUGGGGUUAUUUUAGAGGCUUCCUACCCCAGAGUUUUCGUUAUUCUAAGAAUGGAGGAAAGUGGGGCUUAUAAAAGAUAAAUAAUUUGCCCAAGAUCAUUUGGCUGUUCCAUGCUAAGAUAGGAAUUCAUUUCCAGGCUUUUGGAGUCCAGAGAUCAAGCUCUUAAUCAACAGGUAGCAGAAAAAAAUAAACAAUGUAAGAAAUUGAUCUCUUUUUGCUGAAUCCUUUUGAUGACCAUUUGCCCACCAAUAGGCAAAAGCUUAAGACCAAAUAAUGGCACUAAUUUAGAUUUAUCAAAUGCAUUAUGUGCAGGAAUACAAGCUAGAAUUUCAGUUAAUUUUUAAGUACAUUUUAAUAUAUAACACUUUUCUCGUUUGUCACUCUUUCACGUUUGUAUAUGCAUCAGUAAAAUAAGAGAAGCCUGAAACAUAUUUUUACAUGUUUUAUGGACCAUGUUUCUCAGAAGCGUUUAUUUGGUUUAGAGUUAAGGUUUAAGAAAAAAAUCAUAAUUUUUCAGAGUCAGCUUUAUUAGAAAACGAUUACAAACAUUCACCCGCAAACUUGUCAUUGCACUGGAAUUGGAGAAUCAAAGUUUCUGCUUUUACAUCAAAAAGAAAGCAGAUGUGGUAUGUGUGAGGCCAUGGAACCACAGUCAGGUAUUCCCUGCAGAGUACUGAUAGCUUGUUAUUUCUUACUUAGAUUGAAAUGUUUGCAAGAGUUGAAUGAUAAAUGACUCCAAAGAACAAGUCAAGAAAGGAUCAUGACUAGGUGUUAGUAGGUGCAAGUUUUAUCACAGUACAGGAAUUAGAACAAUGUAGAAGCAACCCAAGAAAAGGAGAGGCUUUCUAACAACUGUGUUAUCAGUUCCAUCAGCCCCUCUGUGCAAACCAUAUGGCCUGUGUCUCAGUCAGCACAGAAGGAUUAUCCAACUGUCACCUCUCUCCCGACUGGAUAUUGUGUCAUAGCUGAACAUUAGGGUUUUCAUUUUUAUGUAUUAUUCCUGCGAAGAAAACUUUGGCAUAACCUACACCCUCAAGAUACUCACCUCCAUUUCUUUAACACCUAACACAUGGCUAGCUCUUAAUCAAUGUUUAAGAACUGCCCUGCAUUUUUAUGAACACGUGGUUAGUUGGAGCUUUGGAUUUUCAACCUUACAUUGAUUGGGACCAGCUGGUAAGGUAAGUGACAAAAUUCUGAGACAGGUUGCUUGUUCACAAUACAUUUCAUUCAGCAAAGGAAGAAAAGGGUAUAAAUUUUUCAAGAGUUAUUCCAUAUGGGAUUUCCAGAUCCCCCAGCAUCUGAACUUUGAGGAUUAUUUUUUAAAUCACACUUUUUCUUUUCACUUAUCCAUGAGGCUGUCUGAAAAUCUAAUUUGUCCUGGAGAAUAGUCUCAUCAUGGAAGCUAGAUAAAAAUAGUUCAUACUCGUGAAUCUUGUGAUCUGUAUAGUAGCACUCAUGAGCCAUUAAAAAAUGAAGGAGGAAAAAUCUAUUUCCAUUUAGAGACUAGUGUUAAUAUUAGUAAACAGUUUGAUGUAAUUGUACUUCUUGUUAUAAUCCACAUUUCUGUAUUUCUAAUAAAUUGCUAUAUCAAAUCCACUAAGUGUUAUUACUUGUAAAAAUGUGUCAUGCAUACUUAGUAAACUUCUGAGUAACCAUUUGUCAUUGUUCUAUGUAAAAAUGAAAAACGACAUUUUCUGUGGAUUUCAUAGCAACUCAUUACCAUGUAAAAAUAUAUACAUAAAAAAUUGAAUAUUUCUACUGGUUAUAAACAUUUUAGUAUAAAUAGACAUGUCUUCAUAUAAUAACUUUAUUUUAAAUUAAAGGGUAAAAACUACAUUGAAUUUGUAAAAUAUAAUUAUAUUGGACCUGGCAUCACCAAGGGAUUGGGGCCAAAGUUCGUCUCUUUUUCUCAAUUCGUCUUUAUUCUAUUUUUGUUUUGUUUGUUUUGAACUGUUUUGGAGGAAAGCAAAUUGAGACCACUGAGAUUCAAACUGGUAGGAAAGAAAUGGGGGGCAGGGGGUUGUAUGAUACAAGGGGAAGGUAGAGGUCAGUUUUGUUCACCUUUAACCUUGGCCAUGUCUCUACUUAUGUAUAUAAAUUCAUUGUUCAUAAAGUGUGAAGACAUUCCCAUUUAGCAAUGCGUGCCCCUUGAGUUACUUUGAUUGUAAUUAUCCAGUCUUACCCUCUUCACCAUGAAGGAGAAUAACUAACAUUUAUUGAGUGCUGUCUGAGUGCUUGGCACAUUACCUGAUUUAAUCUUCACCACUACAAUUCCAGGACGUAGGUGGUAGUAUUAUUCCCAUUUUCAAAGGAGAAAAGUGAGACUUCAGGAUCAAGUAACUUGCCCAAGUUCACACAUGUAGCAUGUGACUAAGCUAGAAUUAACACCCAGGUCUCCCUAAACUCUAUACCAGUACUCCACAUUGUU
Long non-coding RNA from Pongo pygmaeus (Bornean orangutan), 4605 nucleotides. RefSeq lists it as uncharacterized. NCBI's taxonomy places the organism in Eukaryota, Metazoa, Chordata, Mammalia, Primates, Hominidae. The record is from RefSeq and is a predicted model, not a curated record. The transcript is spliced from 4 exons.